AUAAAAUGAAUUGGAAAAUAGCCUUGAAAUUGUCCACAAGGGUAGACCCACAGGUGUGUGUCUAGGCUGUGUGUGGUGCACAGUCCGCCCCCACAGCAUGUGUCUUGGCUGUGUGCCCCUAAAUAAAAGAUGAUGUCAUAAACAUAGAGUUAAACGGGCUGAGGACACGAACGUGUCCCAAGCCACACGGGCGUGUGUAACCACACAGCCUACUCCACUCCGGU
This 224-nucleotide long non-coding RNA is filed under the name Gossypium barbadense (sea-island cotton). RNAcentral describes it as "long non-coding RNA (GBAR_LNC002292)". The record is from RNAcentral. Lineage: Eukaryota; Viridiplantae; Streptophyta; Magnoliopsida; Malvales; Malvaceae.